UACGGGGGGAGCAAGCGUUGUUCGGAUUUACUGGGCGUAAAGGGCGCGUAGGCGGCCACUGCAAGUCAGUUGUGAAAUCUCCGGGCUUAACCCGGAAAGGUCAACUGAUACUGCAGGGCUAGAGUGCAGAAGGGGCAACUGGAAUUCUCGGUGUAGCGGUGAAAUGCGUAGAUAUCGAGAGGAACACCUGCGGCGAAGGCGGGUGCUGGGCUGACACUGACGCUGAGGCGCGAAAGCGUGGGUAGCAAACAGG
Molecule: ribosomal RNA, 253 nt
Filed under: uncultured bacterium
Lineage: Bacteria
Description: partial 16S ribosomal RNA
Rfam family: Bacterial small subunit ribosomal RNA
Source: RNAcentral